Molecule: transfer RNA, 69 nt
Filed under: Marmota monax (woodchuck)
Lineage: Eukaryota; Metazoa; Chordata; Mammalia; Rodentia; Sciuridae
Description: tRNA.Ala
Rfam family: tRNA
About the family: Transfer RNA (tRNA) molecules are approximately 80 nucleotides in length.
Source: RNAcentral
GUGUGUAGCUUAGUAGUAGAGCGCUUGUCUAGCAUUCGACAGGCCCUAGGUUCAAUCCCCAGCACGGCA